AUGGAGGCCAUGCAAGCUCGCCUCGCCCUCGUCUUCCUCAUGUUCGUCGCGCUCGCGGGGGCACAGCCGGCGCCGGCGCCGGCGCCUGCCGACGUGGGUUGCAACGGCGUCUUCCUCACCUACACCCCCGAGGCCCACCAAAGGAUCAGGCCGUUCGUGGACCCCGCCGCCGCCGCGGCCGGCAGGCAGCCCUACUCCUUCAGCGCCAGCGCCACCGUCCUCAACAACGGCGUCCGCACGCUCCCCUCGUGGGCGCUGCUGGUCGCCUUCGCGCACGGCGAGAUUCUUGUCAGUCUCGACGGCGGCGUGCUCACCUUCGGGGACGACCUGCCGUACAACACCACGGCUGCCGGAGGCGGCGCGACGACCUUGUCUGGGAACCCGCAGACGGACCUCCUCACGCCGAUCGCCACAGCCGGCGACCUUACCAGGAUACAGGCGACGGUGAAGCUGGUCGGGACGCUGUUCGCCGGGCCAGAGCCGGUCGUGACGCUCCCGUCCGCGAUCUCGCUGGCCGACCCCGCGUACUCCUGCUUGCCUGUCGCCACCGCGCCGAGUGUCCUCUCCGCGUGCUGCGUGCUGAUUGCGCCAGACCAGCCCUCGGCCGUGCCGCCGGCGGCCGGGAACGCCUACCUCCCGCGCGUCACCGGCGACCUCGUCAUCACCUACGACGUGCUCCAGGCGCACGAGACCACGUACCUGGCGCUGGUGACGCUCGAGAACAACGCGCCGAUGGGCCGCCUCGACGGGUGGGAGCUGUCGUGGGAGUGGCGGCGCGGCGAGUUCAUCAACUCCAUCAGAGGCGCCUACCCGCGGGAGGUGGACACGAGGGGCUGCCUCUACGGCCCGCAGGGGCAGUACUACAAGGACCUCGACUUCUCCAAGGUGCUCAACUGCGAACGCCGGCCGGUGGUGCACGAUCUGCCGCCGUCGCGGCGCGACGACACGUCCCUCGGCCAGAUCGAGCACUGCUGCAGGAACGGCACCAUCCUGCCCAAGACCAUGGACGAGGCGCAGUCCAAGUCGGCGUUCCAGAUGGAGGUGUACAAGAUGCCGCCGGACCUGAACCGGACAGCCAGGCCGCACGCCCCGGCCAACUUCAGGGUCGCCGGCGCCUCGCCGCUCAACCAGGAAUACGCGUGCGGGCAGCCGGCGCUGGUGAGCCCCACGGAGUUCCCGGACCCGAGCGGGCUCGUCUCCACGACGCUCGCCGUCGCGACGUGGCAGGCGGUGUGCAACAUCACCGUUCAAGACGACGCCAGGCCGCCCAAGCCGCCGCAGUGCUGCGUGUCCUUCUCCGCCUUCUACAACGAGUCGGUGAUCCCCUGCAGCACCUGCGCGUGCGGCUGCCCCGCCCCGGCGGCGCCUACGACGACCUGCAGCACGACGGCGCCGGCGCUGCUCCUGCCGCCGCACGCGCUGCUGAUGCCGUUCGAGUGGCGGGCCAAGGAGACGCUCAAGUGGUAUCACGACGAGGAGCUGGGCGCGCCGCCGAACCCGAUGCCAUGCGGCGACAACUGCGGGGUGAGCGUGAACUGGCACGUGGCCACGGACGCGGCCGGCGGGUGGAGCGCGCGGGUGACGCUGUUCAACUGGGAGGAGGGCGCGGACAUGCGGGACUGGUUCGCCACCGUCGUCAUGGGCGACAAGGUGUACGGCGGGUUCGAGCAGGCCUACUCCUUCAACGCCACCGCCGUCGGGGACGGCGCCAUCUUCAUGCGGGGCAGGGAAGGCUUCGAGCUCCUGCUCAGGGAGAGCAACGUGAGCGGCGUGGACUACCCCGUGCCCGGGAAGCAGCAGUCCGUGCUCUCCUUCACCAAAAAGAAUGGCCCCGGUGACGUCGACGUGGUUGGCGGCGACGGGUUCCCGACCAAGGUCUUCUUCAACGGCGAGGAGUGCGCCAUGCCGCAGAUGAUUCCGAGCCAGGGGGCUGGCAUUCACGCGAGCCGUCGUGGUCUUCUCCUGAUCGACUACAUUUGA
RNAcentral lists this ribosomal RNA (1980 nucleotides) under Triticum aestivum (bread wheat). RNAcentral describes it as "partial small subunit ribosomal RNA". Lineage: Eukaryota; Viridiplantae; Streptophyta; Magnoliopsida; Poales; Poaceae. The record is from RNAcentral.